GUAGUCCACGCCGUAAACGAUGGGCACUAGGUGCCUGGGGGAGCGACCCCCUGGGUGCCGGCGCUAACGCAUUAAGUGCCCCGCCUGGGGAGUACGGCCGCAAGGCUGAAACUCAAAGGAAUUGACGGGGGCCCGCACAAGCGGUGGAGCAUGUGGUUUAAUUCGACGCAACGCGAAGAACCUUACCUGGGCUUGACAUCUCGGGGAAAGCCGUGAGAAACCACGGCCCCUCUUCGGAGUCCCGAGACAGGUGCUGCAUGGCUGUCGUCAGCUCGUGUCGUGAGAUGUUGGGUUAAGUCCCGCAACGAGCGCAACCCCCGCUCCCAGUUGCUACCGGGUAAAGCCGAGGACUCUGGGAGGACUGCCGGUGCCAAACCGGA
This 380-nucleotide ribosomal RNA is filed under the name uncultured bacterium. RNAcentral's name for it is "bacterial SSU rRNA". It matches the Rfam family "Bacterial small subunit ribosomal RNA", at positions 790 to 1167 of the family's 1533-position model. The record is from RNAcentral.